RNAcentral lists this ribosomal RNA (673 nucleotides) under bacterium ocnta198lb798offp11.20. RNAcentral describes it as "bacterial SSU rRNA". It matches the Rfam family "Bacterial small subunit ribosomal RNA", at positions 51 to 713 of the family's 1533-position model. The record is from RNAcentral.
ACACAUGCAGUCGAGCGGUAACACAAGGGAGCUUGCUCNUUGGAGGUGACGAGCGGCGGACGGGUGAGUAAUGCCUAGGGAUCUGCCCAGUCGAGGGGGAUAACAGUUGGAAACGACUGCUAAUACCGCAUACGCCCUACGGGGNAAGGAGGGGACCUUCGGGCCUUCCGCGAUUGGAUGAACCUAGGUGGGAUUAGCUAGUUGGUGAGGUAAUGGCUCACCAAGGCGACGAUCCCUAGCUGUUCUGAGAGGAUGAUCAGCCACACUGGGACUGAGACACGGCCCAGACUCCUACGGGAGGCAGCAGUGGGGAAUAUUGCACAAUGGGGGAAACCCUGAUGCAGCCAUGCCGCGUGUGUGAAGAAGGCCUUCGGGUUGUAAAGCACUUUCAGUAGGGAGGAAAGGUGAUGUGUUAAUAGCACAUUGCUGUGACGUUACCUACAGAAGAAGGACCGGCUAACUCCGUGCCAGCAGCCGCGGUAAUACGGAGGGUCCGAGCGUUAAUCGGAAUUACUGGGCGUAAAGCGUGCGCAGCGGGUUUGUUAAGCCAGAUGUGAAAUCCCCGGGCUCAACCUGGGAAUUGCAUUUGGAACUGGCGAACUAGAGUCUUGUAGAGGGGGGUAGAAUUCCAGGUGUAGCGGUGAAAUGCGUAGAUAUCUGGAGGAAUACCGGU